Molecule: ribosomal RNA, 249 nt
Filed under: uncultured bacterium
Lineage: Bacteria
Description: partial 16S ribosomal RNA
Rfam family: Bacterial small subunit ribosomal RNA
Source: RNAcentral
UACGUAGGGUCCGAGCGUUGUCCGGAAUUAUUGGGCGUAAAGGGCUCGUAGGCGGUUCGUCACGUCGGGAGUGAAAAACUCGGAGCUUAACUCCGAGCCUGCUUCCGAUACGGGCAGACUAGAGGUAGGCAGGAGAGCGGAACUCCUGGUGUAGCGGUGGAAUGCGCAGAUAUCAGGAAGAACACCGGUGGCGAAGGCGGCUCUCUGGCCUUACCUGACGCUGAGGAGCGAAGCGUGGUAGCGAACAGG